RNAcentral lists this ribosomal RNA (466 nucleotides) under uncultured bacterium. RNAcentral describes it as "bacterial SSU rRNA". It matches the Rfam family "Bacterial small subunit ribosomal RNA", at positions 355 to 825 of the family's 1533-position model. The record is from RNAcentral.
UCGGGAAUAUUGGACAAUGGGUGAGAGCCUGAUCCAGCCAUGCCGCGUGCAGGAAGAAGGCGUUAUGCGUUGUAAACUGCUUUUGCCAGGGGAUAAAAAGACCGUGCGCGGUUAAUUGAAGGUACCUGGUGAAUAAGCCACGGCUAACUACGUGCCAGCAGCCGCGGUAAUACGUAGGUGGCAAGCGUUGUCCGGAUUUAUUGGGUUUAAAGGGUGCGUAGGUGGCCCUGUAAGUCAGUGGUGAAAUAUCUCAGCUUAACUGAGAGGGUGCCAUUGAUACUGCAGGGCUUGAGUACAGAUGAGGUAGGCGGAAUUGACGGUGUAGCGGUGAAAUGCAUAGAUAUCGUCAAGAACACCGAUAGCGAAGGCAGCUUACCAAGCUGUAACUGACACUGAGGCACGAAAGUGUGGGGAUCAAACAGGAUUAGAUACCCAAGUAGUCCCUGAGCGGGCUGGCAAGGCGCAU